AUGGCCCCAGAGCUGCUGACUGUCAUUGUGGCGUCAGUGUCCUGUGUAGCUUUUUGUUUAGUGAUACUGAUGCUGGUGGUGGUCUUCUACAGAAAAGAUCCUCUGUGCUGCAGAUUCAGACCCCACAGGACAGAUCACUAUACAGAUGAUCCUCCCCAUUACCACAGCCGGCACUCUUUGAUUGGCAUCGGCCGUAAUGAGCACAGGGUGGCCAUGAACCAGGGAGCUGUUGGACUACAGCAUCCUGGAAGGCUGUUUAUAAUAGGGAAGCCAAAUGACUACCACCUGAAUGAGGCUCUGCCGAGGCUGCCUUCCUAUGAGAGCGUCCGCAAGAAAGACCGGCAGAGACAGAUCCACAGCAUGAUCUCCCAGCGCUUCGGCCUUAGUGGCUGCCAGGAGGAGCCACCACCAACGUAUGAGGAAACCCUUCGCCAGUCCUAUGAAGUUUCACCUGUACAUCUGCACACUCUGGAUGUUCACCUGUCAAUCCACACCCAAGAUGACUCUUCAUACGUCAGUGAAGACACAACCAACCCCCAUCAACCGUCCACAGCACUCCAGGGGCCGUCUUCCUCCUACUGCCCAGCACAGAGCAAUGUGUUUCUGUCUAUCUGAUGGUCCUAGAUUUCGCUGCCAAGCCACAGCAUGAGGAAAAGGACUACUGUUGUUAGUGCCAAGAGACUGACGUCAACAGGGACAAGAAGAGAGUUUUUGGGAAGGGAAUGCUUGUGCUUUGAGGCAGAGCUGUUGAUAGGCGAUUCUGCUUGAAGAUAUUGUGAUAAUGAGUGUGACUCAAGCUGAGAAUUAUAUAUCUUUGCAUUGUCCAUGCAAAUACUGGAAGGUUUUACUUUUUAUUUUUUUUAAAUGGUCUAAUGGAAGGUUGGAUUUAAAGGUUUGAAAAAUAUGAUUCCUUUGAUACUGAUCAAGAUAUUUUUGUACUGAAGUCUUUUAUUCAAUUUCAAUCAACAUUUGCACCAAUCUGUUAAGUAGAUGUCAAGAUAUUUCAGUGGAUAUACAAAAGCUUUGACCUGCCGAUUGCACUAGACAAUAAGUCCAUUCAUUCCAUUAGUUGUACUGAGUGGACAAAAAGGACCUGCAUCCAGAAAGAUUCAAUGGUAUUGAAAUGUAUCCAGAUCAGUGUAUCAUAUCAUAUCAUAUUAAAAUAAAAAUAAAAACUGAAAUAAUCUUUUGGAUAUGGACAGCAUCUGUCUAUAUCUAAACAUAGUACCGUAUUUCUGUGCAUUUAUUCCAUAACUCAGCCUCUGGGAACCAUCAAAGUUUGAACAAACUUUCAAUGCAAACUAUCCAGUAGUAGUCUGGACCAAAGUGGUCAACCAACUGACUCUUAGACAGACAGACUGACAUUUUUAUCAAUAGAGACUAACUUGCAGAUUGCAACCAACUAAAUACCACUGGAUUUCCACACGUGUAGGAAAAACUACGGUGGCAGUAAAACUCGAAAAAAACACAAAAAGCCCCAACCAGAGUCAGUGCUUGGUUUAUUGUAGAAACACGGGGCACCCUGUAGAAGAGGACCCGCUCCCUCUUCAGAUAACAACUGCUCAUUCUAAGACAACAAAAACGCAAUGAUGCUUACAUUAAGGUGAUUAUACACUAAUGAAGACAUACCUAUGAAUAUUAUAUUCCAUUUCUUCCUUUAAGGUCAGUGUUGUCUUUUGUACGGACUUUUUACACAAAUUUCCAGACAGCAAAUGUAAAAUUGUUAUCUUUAUUGGUUAACUAAAAAACACUAAGUACUAAUACUAUGUUUCACUCUCAAAGAGGUCUCUUAGGUAAGACCAGGCAUUGCUUAAACAGUAACUCUGUUUGGCCUGUACUCAUCACUAAUGACUGUUAGUUUGAGUUUGAGAGGUAAAGUACGACUGUGCAAGGUUACUCUUUAACCCAGAUCAAACACUAACCACAGAAAACACAAACCCACCUCAACCAGGAAGUAUCUGGGAGGACUAGAUUGCACGUACUUUCUGUUGUGCAUCCACUGAGGAUGACCUGCCCUGAUACUGGCCUGAACCAAGAAUGCGGCUCUCAAACAAUGGCCAUUGGCUAUUCAGUAACUUCACGACUCAUUUGUUCUUUGGAAAAACACGCACGAAGUAGCAGAUAUCAAAGAAUCUAUAUGCUUACACUUAUUUAUAGAAAUACUCCUCAGUAGUUUCUCCCUGACACAUCAUCCAAUCAGCCAGCGGAAUGCACGUUGACCCAUAAACAGCGAUUUACCCCCCGCCAUCUAGGAGUUAAAGCGCCAUGUCUGCAAACUCCUCACAUCCAUCAUUGGUUCUGCUUCGUGACAGCGUUUCCACUCCCAUACAGUGUACCAGGCGUUACCCACACUCCCUCAGCAUACCACAAGCCUCUGAAAUACAACUGUUCCUGCUGAAAGCUCUCUCAAAGAAAUGCUGACAAAAUAUCUGGCUGAUAAGCUCGUACCAUUCACAACACAUUUUAUACAGGGAAAGUUCAUUAGAAGAACAUAGGCUGAUAAAGGGAGACUGAUAAUCACCCCAGUCACUGAGUCAUCAUAAACCUUAUUUUUCUUACUAUUACUUAUUUUUUCUGUAAAUUCAGUCAUUAUCAAUGUGCAUUAUGGACUGCACACUGGGAUAAAAUCAAGCUGAGGAGCUCAUGCAUUACUCCAGCAGUGACUGUUCAACAUCUUGUGGUCAGUAUUGGUAUUGCAUCUUUCCAACAAUAUGAAGCACUUGAAAACUUGCUGUCAAAUCUUAAUUAAGGUUAAUUAUAAAGCACAUUUGAACACAGCUUAAACUGACCAAAGUGCUGUACAAAGUCCAUUAACAUAUACAGUAAAAAGGUAACAAACAACAAUAAAUGACAAGGUCAUAGAAAUGACAACCGACUAACUGAUUAAAAGAUUAGUAGGUCAAAAAGGCCAAAGAAUAGAAAUGUGUUUUAAAACAAAGAGAGAGAGAGAGACAGUUUAAUAUCUAACAGCAACUGGUUCCACAGUUGUAGAGCAGCAACUGCAAAGAAUCCCCUUUUAGUUUUAGAGCUAAAAAGCCGAUCAGACUGAUAUCUCGUACCGCCACCACAAAAGCUACAGACCCCCACCGACGGCCCAACAUUGGCCCGACCAUCGGCCUGGUGUGUCAGGGCCUUUGGUCAGGGUUGGGAGGGUUAAUGUAAUGUAAAUGCUAACCGGUUCAAAUUAUUAAAUACCUUUUGAAAGAUUUGUCAGUAACCUAGUCCAAGUAAUAUUAAGGUUUACUUUCUGUUACUUUUGGAUUACCUCAACACUAAAUAUGUGAAUAAAAACAAGAGAAAACAAUAAUAACUAUUGAUGCAAGUGUAUUCUAUAAGACAACAGAACAAUGUAACUUUAGAAAAGAAAAAAUGGAAAAUGGAAAGAUCUGAAUCAAUAAUGCGUCCUCUGCUCCUCUAUGUUUAAAGAAAAACUCAAGUAUUUUAAAAUUGUAAUCUGCUAAAUAAUCCCUAUUUUUACUAAAUGUAACAGUACUCUCAUUACAAGUAUUUUCUGUAACUCUGUUACAUGUGGGACAUUCAGAAGAGAUCAUGUCAGAUCUCAGAGAGCUAGGAGCUGAGUGCCACUGAGUAAGGGCUGUGAUACAGGAUGGGGCCUGACCAUUAAGAGCCUUGAAGGUAAUCAGAGGUCUAAAAUGAACAGGGAACCAAUGAAAAGAGGCUAGGCCAUUUACCAUUUACUUAAUGAAAAGCGGGGAAGGCCCAAGUAAAGGGAAUUUCUCUUUUCUGUAACAUUAAAUGUUUGUGAUCAAAAUGAGCAACAAUCAAAAUCAAUAAUGUUUAAACACUAAAAAAACCUGCUUUAAAAGGACUGUGGAGAUGUGGUUUGCUCAUACUUAGCUCAUAAUGGAAGUGAAAAGUUGAGAAGAAUGGAACAGCCUGAUGUUGAAUCUGAGCGUCCCCUCUGUCCAUCUGCAUGCACCGAAGACUUCACUGCUGUUUUUUGUAGGACAGUGACGUUUGCAAUUAUGACUCCAACCCUGAUGCAUAUAGUGUAAGGGUAAAAUCAAGGGAGCACAUAAUGCAGUAGUGGUUGUAUGACAUCUAGUGUUUACUUUCUGGUACUGCACUGUUCUAAUACUAAGUUUAAUAACAUAAGUUUGUUUCAAAU
This 4129-nucleotide long non-coding RNA is filed under the name Dicentrarchus labrax (European seabass). RNAcentral's name for it is "lncRNA (ENSDLAG00005028425.1)". The record is from RNAcentral. Lineage: Eukaryota; Metazoa; Chordata; Actinopteri; Moronidae.